Mus musculus (house mouse) is the source of this 603-nucleotide long non-coding RNA. RefSeq annotates it as predicted gene, 35152. The record is from RefSeq and is a predicted model, not a curated record. NCBI's taxonomy places the organism in Eukaryota, Metazoa, Chordata, Mammalia, Rodentia, Muridae. The transcript has 3 exons.
CUGCGAUGCCCCAGACUGGACUGUGGGAGGAGGAGGCUGGCCACAGCAGGAUCAUAGAGCCACGGUCCCAGAGAGGUCUCCUGAGGACUUGAGUUUGGAUCCCUGAACAAGCAUGGGGUGACCCACAACCAAUCACCUAUAACUGCAGCUCCUGGGGAUCUGACACUCUCUUCUGGCUUCAGUUUCUAACCAGCCUGCUUAGAACACUACUCACCUGCCAGCUGGAUGGGAGGCCGUGCUCCUUCAGCUAAAUCCUACUUAGUGCAACUUUAUAUUUCCUAAGCACGGAUAUUAGUAAAUCUUAUCUGGCGUUAAUUGUAUUACUUCGGGCUCCUCCUGCAUCAUUACCAGACUUUUGUCAUCUCAGCCUCAGGUGAACUCUCAGGCAAGGUGUGCUUGAGAGUCCCCCACAGCACAAGUAGCUUGUCCUGAAGACUUUAUGAUGCCCUUGUGCUGGUUUGCUGAAACAAAUAUGGAUGUCAGAAACCCGGCCCCAGCUUCUCACAGCGUUGGGCUAACAACGGGCAUGGAGGCAUGGUCUAAUUGUCCCCAAGCAUCUAAAUACCAACUGAGCCCAGGAUGGCAUUUCAAUGACCUUCAGAC